AUGCCUGACAGGGCCCUUGUGCAUUGUGUGAGAGCAGUAACCCUCAGUGGGGGUGCCGUGGGCCAUGCCCAGCCUGCAGAAACGAGUAUGUGGCAACGAGGACUGGGAGCAAAGGGGACGUCGUGCAGAAAGCUCUUCUUGAUUUGGUCUAUCACCACCAUUGUGAGAUACACUGGAAUAAUUGCCCAUCUGACGACAGGAAAACAUGCAAGCCCUUGGAAGUGGAACUUGCUUUAUACAUAUGAGAAUGGAGCAAGCAAUGCUUCCAAUAAAAGAAUUGUGAAACUAUUCCCAUCGGUGGCCUGUCCUCUACCCACAAUGGUGAUGGAGAAGACUGUUGGAUUUCCAUCAGGAGAACAAUUUGAGUGUGGACUCUACUGCCACAAAUUUAAGAAAGCUCUCCAGUUGCUGCUUGCCAAAGAAACAGGGUGAAGACCACAUUAUCAUUUAAGAAAACACUUUUCAAGUGAACCAGAAAAGCAGUGAGCAAAUGCUGGGUGAUGUGUUCAAUCCAUCCUGGAAGCAUAAUGCCAUUCCUGGACAUGGUUCUUGGUCAUGUAAAGCCAACACUUGGGCAUGCAAUUGCAUUUCUGAGAAAGAAGACAUUUUUUCCAUUAUCUUCCGAUCCAAAUGUACUCAUCUGACAAGUGAAAUUAAGUUUUAUUUUUCUGUUCCUGCUCCCAUGCUUGUGUUUGAGGCUUCCAGCCCUCAGCUACAUUUUUGCAGGCAUCUUUAAUGAGGUUGUGGAGAUGUCACUGGUAUGGCCAUGGCUUGGGUGGCAUGGAGCUCUGGAAGAACGUGAGCAGAAAGGGCUGUUUCUGCAAAGAAGGGAAAACAGCCUGGACAUAGGACAGCUGUGGUUCUGGGGCUGGAAGGCUGCAUGCAGAGCCAGAGGCAAGGCCUGACCUCUGCGUGCUGAGAUGAAAGCAAAUGUUGGUGUUUUGUGUUUGUCCCCAUCUAUGAGCAUGUGUAUAGUCUCAUGCCAUGGCUCAGCUGACAUGUGACAUCUUGCUCUGCUGUUUGAAGGUCUGAGUCUUCAAAUAUUAAAAAAGAAGAUAAAUGAAUAAAAGAAAACAAAAACAAGCA
This 1086-nucleotide long non-coding RNA is filed under the name Anser cygnoides (Swan goose). RNAcentral describes it as "lncRNA (ENSACDG00005000387.1)". The record is from RNAcentral. Lineage: Eukaryota; Metazoa; Chordata; Aves; Anseriformes; Anatidae.